GAUGAAGACGCAGUGAAAUGCGAUAAGUAAUGUGAAUUGCAGAAUUCAGUGAAUCAUCGAAUCUUUGAACGCACAUUGCGCCCGCCAGUAUUCUGGCGGGCAUGCCUGUUCGAGCGUCAUUACAACCCUCAGGCCCCCGGGCCUGGCGUUGGGGAUCGGCGGAGCCCCCCGUGGGCACACGCCGUCCCCCAAAUGCAGUGGCGGUCCCGCCGCAGCUUCCAUCGCGUAGUAGCUAACACCUCGCGACUGGAGAGCGGCGCGGCCACGCCGUAAAACACCCAACUCUUCUGAAGUUGACCUCGAAUCAGGUAGGAAUACCCGCUGAACUUAAGCAUAUCAAUAAGCGGAGGA
Molecule: unclassified non-coding RNA, 351 nt
Filed under: soil metagenome
Description: partial contains 5.8S ribosomal RNA, internal transcribed spacer 2, and large subunit ribosomal RNA
Rfam family: 5.8S ribosomal RNA (bases 1-119)
Source: RNAcentral